This is a long non-coding RNA of Choloepus didactylus (southern two-toed sloth), 1695 nucleotides long. RefSeq lists it as uncharacterized. NCBI's taxonomy places the organism in Eukaryota, Metazoa, Chordata, Mammalia, Pilosa, Megalonychidae. The record is from RefSeq and is a predicted model, not a curated record. The transcript has 4 exons.
AGGUACCAUUUUGUUUUGAAUUAAGAGUAUAUGGGAAAGCCUGAAUAUGUGGAUAAUACAACAGAUUCUUACCAUCUCCACAAAGGUCAGAGAUUAGUUGCCUGGACUGAAGGCCACUUGGAAAGGUUUCUUCUCCUUCUUUCGCUGUUUGGAGUUGUCUAGAGACAACUGACUGAUGGCAAGAGGAUUUUGACAAGGAACAACAUGCCAAAGAGCAUUUGUGGUGUGGGACCAAACUACUGCCAAGUCUGAAGAGAGAAACUGAAGCUAAUGGAUUCCCAGGAGUCUACUGGGGAUGAGAGAAGAUCAGCAAAGUGACCAGUGACAGGGGCAGACCUCUGUGGCUGAGGACUUGACAUCCCUUGAUAAUGGUGUUGUGUUUGUUGGGUCUUGCCUUGGUGAUUCCCAGCUUGUGAAGUGCCUGCAGUAAUGUGGAUUAAGACCCACUCUCAUUCUGUUGGGCCACACUUAACUAAAAAUAACAUUUUCAAGAGGCCCUAUUUACAAUGGGUUCACACCCACAGGACUGAGGAUUAAGAUUAAGAACAUAUUUUUGCUGGCACCAAUCUACCAAAGCUAGUUUAAAUGCCACCACAAAAGUCAAAUCAUUCAGAACCAGUCAGAGUCCUUGGGUAAGUGCCUUAUUACGUCAUUGAUUUAGAUCCUGGAAGAAUUUAAAAAGUGAGGCCACUUAACUCAGUUGGUUAGACAUGAAGCUAACGAAUGCCAAGAGAUAACUGAACUUGAUCCUCAAUCAAUAGUAUUCUACGAGGAAAGGAAAUUACAUUCCACUGUCACCCUGAAUCUUGGCUCCUCAAACAUUUAUCACUGAUCACGAUGGGGAGAGAGUAAGUGCUCAGCUGUAUAGCAGUGGUUCUCAAAGUGUGGUUUGCAACACAGCAGCACCAGGAAACUUGCUAGAAAUGCAAAUUCUGAAGACUCUUCUCAGACAUGUUGAAUCAUAAACCCAGGGCGCACAGUGGAUCUCACAAUCUCUGUUUUGACAAGCCCUCCUGGUGAUUCUGAUGCCCUCUAAGGUUUGAGGACUGCUGCUACUCAUAGCCCAUCACCAUUACUAGAAGAAAACAAAACAAAACAAAAGGCAGAUCCGAUGUCCUCCUAUUGUUGAGUGAGGAGCAGCAUAAGCAGUUCAGGACACCUGAAGCUACUGUAGUUUGGACCCUCUUUUUUUUGUCCCAUGAGAUCUUCAAACCCAGACCACAGCCUCCUCACACAUGAACACAGCCUCUGCCAUAGGCAUAAAAUCACCAGAUGUGUACAGCAGGUUAGGGUGUGUCUUGCCAAUAAUCUCACCUUCAUGACUUCACUGGCUGACUGUCUUGAUCUCUGAUGUCUUUGCUCCUGACCCUGGAAAUCCCCUGACCGCUGAACACGGGCUUGACCUCUUGACCCCCAAUCCAUUGGCUGGUGUUGGAACUUAGCAGUUGCAGAGAUUUCUAUUUCCACCCCUACUCGAUCACCUGGGGCCUGCUGAUGUCCCUGCUAGGCCAUGAUAUUUAUUUCUAUAAACAAGGGAUGACAUAUUUGCUUUUAAGUAUUACAUCAUGGGCUUUGCUGGUUUGAAUGUAUUAUAUCUCCCAGAAAAGGCCAUAUUCUUUGAAGUAAUCUUGUGUGGGCAGACAUAUCAGUGUUGAUUAGAUUGUAAUUCUUUGAGGGUUUCCCUGCAGAUGUGCC